Molecule: ribosomal RNA, 619 nt
Filed under: Chaetoceros affinis
Lineage: Eukaryota; Bacillariophyta; Thalassiosirophyceae; Chaetocerotales; Chaetocerotaceae
Description: partial Bacterial large subunit ribosomal RNA
Rfam family: Bacterial large subunit ribosomal RNA
Source: RNAcentral
CUGUCUCCAGCGUCGACUCAGUGAAAUUGAACUCUCCGUGAAGAUGCGGGGUACCCGCGGUCAGACGGAAAGACCCCGUGAACCUUUACUAUAGCUUCACAGUGGACUCUGAUAUUACUUGUGUAGGAUAGCUGGGAGGCUUUGAAACCUAGGCGCUAGCUUAGGUGGAGCCAAUCUUGAAAUACCAGCCUGGUACUAUUGGGGUUCUAACUCUGGACCAUUAUCUGGUUCGAGGACAUUGUGUGGUGGGUAGUUUGACUGGGGCGGUCUCCUCCCAAAGUGUAACGGAGGAGCACGAAGGUGCGCUAAUCACGGUCGGAAAUCGUGAGGUUAGUGUAAUGGCACAAGCGCGCUUAACUGCGAGACUGACAAGUCGAGCAGGUACGAAAGUAGGUCAUAGUGAUCCGGUGGUUCUGUAUGGAAGGGCCAUCGCUCAACGGAUAAAAGGUACUCUGGGGAUAACAGGCUGAUACCGCCCAAGAGUUCAUAUCGACGGCGGUGUUUGGCACCUCGAUGUCGGCUCAUCUCAUCCUGGGGCUGUAGCCGGUCCCAAGGGUAUGGCUGUUCGCCAUUUAAAGAGGUACGUGAGCUGGGUUUAGAACGUCGUGAGACAGUUCGG